Molecule: RNA transcript, 1053 nt
Organism: Glycine soja
Lineage: Eukaryota; Viridiplantae; Streptophyta; Magnoliopsida; Fabales; Fabaceae
Gene name: BEACH domain-containing protein C2-like
Exons: 3
Source: RefSeq, a predicted model, not a curated record
UCCCUGGCAGCGGAAAGAGUAAAAAUAUUGUACCUGGCUUAGAUGCUACCAAGUCAGAAAGAAAGCCCUAUUUAUCCAUUUUAAGUACUUCUGAUUAUUAUUGUUCAUUUGUGUCUUACAUUACUCAUUUGUUUUCAAACCUGUGAUAAAAUUUGAUGCUUCCUCAACUAUUAUAGAUGAUCAGAGCAUGUGAUUAUAAUGAUAAUGCAAUAUGUUUCUUUGUAUAUCAGACAAUAUUCCGCAACCCAAAAGCAAUCAAACCAUAUGCUGUUCCAUCCCCUGAGCACUGCAAUCUACCAGCGGCUGCUAUGCAUACAUCUUCACAUAUGGUUGAGGUUGUUGGUUUGAAUGCACCAGCAGCUCAGGUUGCACAGCACAAGUGGCAACCCAACACACCUGAUGGCCAGGGUACACCAUUUUUCUUUCAACAUGGAAAAGCUACAUCAGGCUCUGUGGGUGGGAAUCUUACACGCACGUUCAAAGGUCCUGCUGGAACUGGCGAAGAGUGGCAAUAUCCCCAAGCAUUGGCUUUUUCUGUUUCUGGAAUUAGAAGCCAAGCUAUUGUUUCUAUAACAUGUGACAAAGAAAUUAUAACUGUAUGUCAGGUAUUGAAGCUUUUUAUUCAGAAUCAGAAGAAACUCACCAUAGCAACAAAAUAAAAAUGCUCCAUCACCAUCAAGUUGCUUCCUGGAUUUGCACACUUUGGAGGUAUUUCAUGUAUUGAAGCUGAAAGAAGGACAAGAUAUCACUGCUCUUGCUCUAUAUAAGGAUAACACAAAUCUUUUGGUUUCAACUUGGGAUAAGCAAUUGAUUAUCUUUACUGAUCCGGCUGUAAGUUAAAUCUCUUGAUAAGGAUCAUUGUUAAAUAGCAACCAUUGCUUACGCCUUACGAGUGAUUACUGUUUUUAAAUAUUCAGUAGUGUGUCCCGGGAGUGAUUUUUUUUCUUUUUCUGAUGCUUGUGAAUUGGCUAAAAGGACAAACUCUGAUAUUUCACUUACAAUCUAGUUUCAUACAAGAAUAAUCACAGUUGCACAUUAUUUGGAGUCUCACAA